RNAcentral lists this ribosomal RNA (253 nucleotides) under uncultured bacterium. Its description in RNAcentral is "partial 16S ribosomal RNA". It matches the Rfam family "Bacterial small subunit ribosomal RNA", at positions 524 to 776 of the family's 1533-position model. The record is from RNAcentral.
UACAUGGGGUGCAAACGUUGCUCGGAAUUAUUGGGCGUAAAGCGCACGUAGGUGGUCUGUUAUGUCAGAUGUGAAAGCCCUCGGCUUAACUGAGGAAGUGCACCUGAAACUGGCAGGCUUGAGUACGAAAGAGGGUCGCGGAAUUCCCGGUGUAGAGGUGAAAUUCGUAGAUAUCGGGAGGAACACCGGUGGCGAAGGCGGCGACCUGGUUCGAUACUGACACUGAGGCGCGAAAGCUAGGGGAGCAAACGGG